AGUCGAACGGGAAACUUUUCAUUGAAGCUUCGGCAGAUUUGGUCUGUUUCUAGUGGCGGACGGGUGAGUAACGCGUGGGUAACCUGCCUUAUACAGGGGGAUAACAACCAGAAAUGGUUGCUAAUACCGCAUAAGCGCACAGGACCGCAUGGUCCGGUGUGAAAAACUCCGGUGGUAUAAGAUGGACCCGCGUUGGAUUAGCUAGUUGGCAGGGUAACGGCCUACCAAGGCGACGAUCCAUAGCCGGCCUGAGAGGGUGAACGGCCACAUCGGGACUGAGACACGGCCCAGACUCCUACGGGAGGCAGCAGUGGGGAAUAUUGCACAAUGGGGGAAACCCUGAUGCAGCGACGCCGCGUGAAGGAAGAAGUAUCUCGGUAUGUAAACUUCUAUCAGCAGGGAAGAUAGUGACGGUACCUGACUAAGAAGCCCCGGCUAACUACGUGCCAGCAGCCGCGGUAAUACGUAGGGGGCAAGCGUUAUCCGGAUUUACUGGGUGUAAAGGGAGCGUAGACGGACUGGCAAGUCUGAUGUGAAAGGCGGGGGCUCAACCCCUGGACUGCAUUGGAAACUGUUAGUCUUGAGUGCCGGAGAGGUAAGCGGAAUUCCUAGUGUAGCGGUGAAAUGCGUAGAUAUUAGGAGGAACACCAGUGGCGAAGGCGGCUUACUGGACGGUAACUGACGUUGAGGCUCGAAAGCGUGGGG
RNAcentral lists this ribosomal RNA (705 nucleotides) under uncultured bacterium. Its description in RNAcentral is "bacterial SSU rRNA". It matches the Rfam family "Bacterial small subunit ribosomal RNA", at positions 60 to 766 of the family's 1533-position model. The record is from RNAcentral.